GCACAAGCGGUGGAUGAUGUGGUUAAUUCGAUGCAACGCGAAAACCUUACCUACCCUUGACAUGUCCGGAAUCCCGAAGAGAUUUGGGAGUGCUCGCAAGAGAACCGGAACACAGGUGCUGCAUGGCUGUCGUCAGCUCGUGUCGUGAGAUGUUGGGUUAAGUCCCGCAACGAGCGCAACCCUUGUCAUUAGUUGCCAUCAUUUGGUUGGGCACUCUAAUGAGACUGCCGGUGACAAACCGGAGGAAAGGUGGGGAUGACGUCAAGUCCUCAUGGCCCUUAUGGGUAGGGCUUCACACGUCAUACAAUGGUCGGUACAGAGGGUUGCCAACCCGCGAGGGGGAGCUAAUCCCACAAAGCCGAUCGUAGUCCGGAUCGCAGUCUGCAACUCGACUGCGUGAAGUCGGAAUCGCUAGUAAUCGUGGAUCAGCAUGUCACGGUGAAUACGUUCCCGGGUCUU
This 459-nucleotide ribosomal RNA is filed under the name uncultured Rhodocyclaceae bacterium. Its description in RNAcentral is "bacterial SSU rRNA". It matches the Rfam family "Bacterial small subunit ribosomal RNA", at positions 923 to 1382 of the family's 1533-position model. The record is from RNAcentral. Lineage: Bacteria; Pseudomonadati; Pseudomonadota; Betaproteobacteria; Rhodocyclales; Rhodocyclaceae.